Molecule: non-coding RNA, 176 nt
Filed under: Clostridiales bacterium
Lineage: Bacteria; Bacillati; Bacillota; Clostridia; Eubacteriales
Description: 6S RNA
Rfam family: 6S / SsrS RNA
About the family: E. coli 6S RNA was the first non coding RNA to be sequenced, but its function was unknown until recently. It consists of 184 nucleotides that fold into an extended hairpin structure with a large single-stranded internal bulge. The 6S RNA specifically associates with RNA polymerase holoenzyme containing the sigma70 specificity factor.
Source: RNAcentral
GAAAUCCUGAAAUGUACGUUAAGGUUUUUAAUUCAACCUACACUGUGACCUUGGGAAUCCGAGUCUUUGCAGCCUAUGUCAGGCCUCCUUAGCAGUGGAAGACAGAAGCGGAAGCAGGAUACCCCCCUAUCUACGAUAGGGUGUGAAUUAUGACCUGACGGCAUGUCGGGAUUUUU